RNAcentral lists this ribosomal RNA (492 nucleotides) under uncultured bacterium. Its description in RNAcentral is "partial 16S ribosomal RNA". It matches the Rfam family "Bacterial small subunit ribosomal RNA", at positions 29 to 507 of the family's 1533-position model. The record is from RNAcentral.
AGUGAACGCUGGCGGUAGGCCUAACACAUGCAAGUCGAACGGCAGCACAGUAAGAGCUUGCUCUUACGGGUGGCGAGUGGCGGACGGGUGAGGAAUACAUCGGAAUCUACUUUUUCGUGGGGGAUAACGUAGGGAAACUUACGCUAAUACCGCAUACGACCUACGGGUGAAAGCAUGGGAUCUUCGGACCUUGCGCGAUUGAAUGAGCCGAUGUCGGAUUAGCUAGUUGGCGGGGUAAAGGCCCACCAAGGCGACGAUCCGUAGCUGGUCUGAGAGGAUGAUCGGCGGCACUGGAACUGAGACACGGUCCAGACUCCUACGGGAGGCAGCAGUGGGGAAUGUUAGACAAUAGGCGCAAGCCUGAUCCAGCCAUACCGCGUGGGUGGAGAAGGCCUUCGGGUUGUAAAGCCCUUUUGUUGGGAAAGAAAAGCAGCAGGUUAAGACCCCGCUGUUCUGACGGUACCCAAAGAAUAAGCACCGGCUAACUUCGUG